CCCCCCCCCCCCCCCCAUUGGCGGGCGGCGGGGCGCGCGUCACAAUGGGUGAUUUGCAUGGGGCAGGCGGCGAAGCGGGCAGGUUGUGCGGCGCUGCGGCGUGGGCUGGACUGGAGCUGGGCGAGGAGCCGCGGGCGCCACUGCCCGGGGUCGGGGAGCAGUGCCAGUGCCAGUCGGAGCAGGCCCGCCUCCAGCUGCAGCUACAGCUACAGCCUGCACUAGUGGAGGUUGCUGUGGUAGGGCGGGCCAGUUAUUGCUGGCUUCCCAGAAGCAUGUGUCUGCUUGCAUUGGGUUAAUCCUCCAGAAGCAGGUGAGCCACUGACUAACGCACAUUGUGCUGUUAGCGAUUCCACUGUGCGUGUGACAGCGGCUAACCUGCUUUUCGGACAUCGCUAUGUCUACUCCAUCACCCCACCCCAGGAAGUGGCAAUGCUGGACCCUGGGAAUGGCUCCUAGUUCCCAACAAAACUUUACCGAGCUUGGCAACAGCCCCUGUUAAGUUCGCGGACCUGUGCUUUUUUGGAAUCUUCUGAAGAGUUCGUAGGAAGCUUGUACGCCUUUUUUUCCCUGGGGAUACAUGAAAGACUCGCAGCAAGAAGGAAAAAACAACUGCCUUUGUUAAAAUAAGUUAAUGGGAUGUAAUCGAUGCAUGCAUGUGCCAUUUGGACCACCUGUACUCAUGUUUAGCAUCAUGUUUAGUGAGCAAUGUCUUGGUGCAGGAGCAUUAAGGGACUUAAUGUUUGUGGGCCGUACUGCAAAAAGGAUCCAGGAAGUCGUGAGCAACUUGCCCUGAGCUAGGGGUGCCAAGCCAAAUGCAAAGGAUUCAUGGGAAGGUUGCAAAUGGAAGGACAUGCUGAUGAAAAUGAGCCCCAUCCCUCCCCUUUGUCCCACCCUGUCCUUUCCAAAAAGUAAUGCUAAUGGACAUUGAGCCAAAUUAGAGAGAAGCUCUUUAUCCAGCCAGUGAAGGCUUGGUACCCAGUCAAUGACUAACUGAACUACUGUCAAGGGUGUGUUAAUAGAAAAAACUAUGCAUGGCAUUGCCCUGGGUGAGUCACCUUAAAGACAGACUCUAAUCUCUUAUAAGUAAAGCAGAAACUGAUUUCACCUCCCAA
This is a long non-coding RNA of Alligator mississippiensis (American alligator), 1112 nucleotides long. RefSeq lists it as uncharacterized. The record is from RefSeq and is a predicted model, not a curated record. The transcript is spliced from 2 exons. NCBI's taxonomy places the organism in Eukaryota, Metazoa, Chordata, Crocodylia, Alligatoridae.